This 105-nucleotide ribosomal RNA is filed under the name Escherichia coli. The record is from RNAcentral. RNAcentral also lists the same sequence under 2 other names. Lineage: Bacteria; Pseudomonadati; Pseudomonadota; Gammaproteobacteria; Enterobacterales; Enterobacteriaceae.
CCUGGCGGCAGUAGCGCGGUGGUCCCACCUGACCCCAUGCCGAACUCAGAAGUGAAACGCCGUAGCGCCGAUGGUAGUGUGGGGUCUCCCCAUGCGAGAGUAGGG